UACGUAGGGGGCCAGCGUUGCUCGGAAUUACUGGGCGUAAAGGGUUCGUAGGUGGUGCGGCAAGUCGGGAGUGAAAUCUCUGGGCUUAACUCAGAGGCUGCUUUCGAAACUGCCGUGCUCGAGUGCGAGAGAGGUCAGUGGAAUUGCAGGUGUAGCGGUGAAAUGCGUAGAUAUCUGCAGGAACACCCGUGGCGAAGGCGGCUGACUGGAUCGCAACUGACACUGAGGAACGAAAGCGUGGGGAUCAAACAGG
This 253-nucleotide ribosomal RNA is filed under the name uncultured prokaryote. RNAcentral's name for it is "partial 16S ribosomal RNA". It matches the Rfam family "Bacterial small subunit ribosomal RNA", at positions 524 to 776 of the family's 1533-position model. The record is from RNAcentral.